This is a non-coding RNA of Paramuricea clavata, 213 nucleotides long. Lineage: Eukaryota; Metazoa; Cnidaria; Anthozoa; Malacalcyonacea; Plexauridae. The record is from the annotation of a GenBank genome assembly.
ACCAAAAAUAGGAGCGGACCAAGAAUUGAGCCUUGAGGGACUCCACAUGUAAUUAAUUUUUUACGAGAAAGUGUGCCAUUAACAGAGCACAUUUGAGUUCUGUUUUCUAGAUACGAUUUUAGGAGGUUUAAAGCUGAUGUUUCUAAACCAUAAAAAUCAAGUUUUUUCAAUAAUACAACGUGGUUAAUAGUGUCGAAUGCCUUUUGCAAGUCG